This 754-nucleotide ribosomal RNA is filed under the name uncultured Veillonellaceae bacterium. Its description in RNAcentral is "bacterial SSU rRNA". It matches the Rfam family "Bacterial small subunit ribosomal RNA", at positions 65 to 791 of the family's 1533-position model. Lineage: Bacteria; Bacillati; Bacillota; Negativicutes; Veillonellales; Veillonellaceae. The record is from RNAcentral.
AACGGAGAGAUAUGAGAGCUUGCUCUUGUAAAUCUUAGUGGCGAACGGGUGAGUAACGCGUAAACAACCUGCCCAACGGAUGGGGACAACAGACGGAAACGACUGCUAAUACCCAAUAGACUCCGGUUUCGCAUGAAACCGACAGGAAAGGUGGCCUCUCGAAGAAGCUACCGCCGCAGGAGGGGUUUGCGUUUGAUUAGUUAGUUGGUGGGGUAACGGCCUACCAAGACGAUGAUCAAUAGCCGGUCUGAGAGGAUGAACGGCCACACUGGAACUGAGACACGGUCCAGACUCCUACGGGAGGCAGCAGUGGGGAAUCUUCCGCAAUGGACGAAAGUCUGACGGAGCAACGCCGCGUGAGUGAAGACGGCCUUCGGGUUGUAAAGCUCUGUUAUUCGGGAAGAACGAUUCGUUUGUGAACAAUGAACGGAAGUGACGGUACCGAAAGAGAAAGCCACGGCUAACUACGUGCCAGCAGCCGCGGUAAUACGUAGGUGGCAAGCGUUGUCCGGAAUUAUUGGGCGUAAAGAGCGCGUAGGCGGUAUGGUAAGUCUGUCUUAGAAGUGCGGGGCUUAACCCCGUGAGGGGACAGAGACUGUCAUACUGGAGUCUCGGAGAGGAAAGCGGAAUUCCUAGUGUAGCGGUGAAAUGCGUAGAGAUUAGGAAGAACACCGGUGGCGAAGGCGGCUUUCUGGACGACCACUGACGCUGAGGCGCGAAAGCGUGGGGAGCGAACAGGAUUAGAUACCCUGGU